Molecule: long non-coding RNA, 368 nt
Filed under: Homo sapiens (human)
Lineage: Eukaryota; Metazoa; Chordata; Mammalia; Primates; Hominidae
Description: HSALNT0269759
Source: RNAcentral
ACCACAGACUAGAGCUUCAGCAUCCUGAAGACAGGCACACGGCACUCCAGAGGACUGAGACAGCUGGAGGAUCUUCCUAGAGGGUGAGAGACUAAGGCCAUGCCCUGACAGAUGUAAUAGGACUUCCACAGGCGAAGAGAUUGAGAAAGAAGGCCUUCCACGUGGGAGAAGUCCUGGGAGGAAACACAGACGCAGAAUAUGUCCAGCAGGCUCUGAAACCUGUGUGGUUAGAACAGAAGGUUCCUGGAAAAUAGGAGUGGGUGAGGAGAUCGACUGGGGAGCCUGGCUCACUCUAUAGAAUUUUGCAAACUGAAGAGGGAUCCAAGAAGCAUUUCAGAAAGCCAGAUCUAGCAGGUUUGUGUACAAGG